CGGGGUCGGAACUUCGGUUCCGGCUUACGUGGCGCACGGGUGAGUAACACGUGGGAAUCUGCCCAUCUAUGGGGAAUAACUGCGGGAAACUGCAGCUAAUACCGCAUACGCCCUUCGGGGGAAAGGCUUCGGCCGUAGAUGGAUGAGCCCGCGUCCGAUUAGCUAGUUGGUGGGGUAAUGGCCUACCAAGGCGACGAUCGGUAGCUGGUCUGAGAGGAUGAUCAGCCACACUGGGACUGAGACACGGCCCAGACUCCUACGGGAGGCAGCAGUGGGGAAUAUUGGACAAUGGGCGAAAGCCUGAUCCAGCAAUGCCGCGUGAGUGAUGAAGGUCUUCGGAUUGUAAAGCUCUUUCGACGGGGAAGAUAAUGACGGUACCCGUAGAAGAAGCCCCGGCUAACUUCGUGCCAGCAGCCGCGGUAAUACGAAGGGGGCAAGCGUUGUUCGGAAUUACUGGGCGUAAAGCGCGCGUAGGCGGCGUCGUCAGUCAGAGGUGAAAUCCCAGGGCUCAACCUUGGAAUUGCCUUUGAUACUGCGAUGCUUGAGUUCGAGAGAGGGUGGCGGAAUACCCAGUGUAGAGGUGAAAUUCGUAGAUAUUGGGUAGAACACCAGUGGCG
RNAcentral lists this ribosomal RNA (617 nucleotides) under uncultured bacterium. Its description in RNAcentral is "bacterial SSU rRNA". It matches the Rfam family "Bacterial small subunit ribosomal RNA", at positions 67 to 717 of the family's 1533-position model. The record is from RNAcentral.